Molecule: RNA transcript, 1271 nt
Organism: Arabidopsis lyrata subsp. lyrata
Lineage: Eukaryota; Viridiplantae; Streptophyta; Magnoliopsida; Brassicales; Brassicaceae
Gene name: AUGMIN subunit 1
Exons: 4
Source: RefSeq, a predicted model, not a curated record
UAAAAACACAUUUUUAUGCCUAUAAACAAAAUAAGCCAAUCAUAAUGUUUCACUCGGAUUGCUGAUGUGGCGAGAUCUCAGCCAUUCAUCGGAUCUAAUACUUGAUCAAUUUACUCAAUCCAAUCAUAAUGUUUCACUCGGAUACAUGACGUGGCGACAUCUCAGCCUUUCAAAGGCUUUGGCGGCUGCAUGUUUAAGGUAAUCUCAUCCGUUCAUCGCCCAACAAAGGCUUUGGCGAGAUUCUCUUCAACCCUUUCUUCCUUUCCUCGACAUCGACUGAGAACAAAAUUCACAACAAAAUUAAUUCAGAUUAGGUCUUCGUCUUUGGCGACGGCUACUACGACGCCAGCAACAAGCAGUUUCUCUCCGGGAACCAUGUCGACGCCAAUUCUCCACCGAUGGCCACAUCAUUCCUGACUAUCUCGCUGAAUUGAUGGGUAUCCCAAGAAUCCCACCGAUUCUACGAAGCUCGGCAGAGGAUCUCUCUCACGGAGCUAGCUUCGCUAUGGCCGACGCCACCGUCCUCGGCUCUCCUCUCAAAACGAUGACUCUGUCUCAACAAGUGAUCAAAUUCUUCCAAAACAAGAACAAAUGGACUGAUAAAGCUUUGUCAGAAGCUAUCUACUUGACCCAUAUUGGCUCUGAUGAUUAUUGGGUUUUAUAGUUUUGGUUGAUUGGUUUCUAGAGCUUGUGCUUUUGCUUCUCUUGUUGCUGUAUCUUCUGUUACAAUUUCUCUUUCGUUUUUCAUAUUGAAUCUUCUUGUUGCUGCAUCUUCUGUUAGUGUGUAAGCUGUUGUUCUUCUCUUUGUUUGGUUUAUAGUUAGUUUUCGUUUUGGUUUCUUUUAUUGACUCUAAGACUGAAUUUGGUUCCUUUAAACAACCUGACAGAGUCAAAAUGAAUGGUUGCUGAUAGCAGAUGUUACUCAAUUGUGUUGGCUACUCUCCUAAGAUCAGCCACAGAGAGCUGGUAGAAAUGGCAGAGCACCGGAAGGAAUUGGAGAAGAUGGCAAAACCCGUUCUUGAUACUCUAAGAAGCUACCAGGACUUGCCUCCGUUUCAUGUUAAUGACCAAGCUGCAAUUGAGAUGGUUAAAGGUCGACGAAGCAAUAUUCAGAAGAAAUUGUAGUUUUUAAUUUUUGUUUUUGUUUUACGCCAAAUUAGUGUGUAAACUUUUUUUAUAUAAGAGUUUUUGUAUAUUAUUUUAUGUAAUAAUGAUAAUAAAUAUUGUAUUUUAUUUUUGAUAUGUUAUUUUAAUCCAAAAAUUCCAGUAAA